Molecule: unclassified non-coding RNA, 5157 nt
Filed under: Hevea brasiliensis (rubber tree)
Lineage: Eukaryota; Viridiplantae; Streptophyta; Magnoliopsida; Malpighiales; Euphorbiaceae
Source: RNAcentral
GAUCCGGGUACCUAAGACUGUAGCACUGCGUAUCCCAUGCAGGCUGCCACACAUCCUUUCCCAGAGAAGAUGAAAAACAGGGAAAGCACCGGAGAACAAGUAACAAAGCGAAAACCUAUAUUUGAAGAUGUUCUAAUCAAACAGCAACCCUAGGAGAGGCAAGCAACUAAGAAGGAUCCAUGCAGCAAGAAGGAACACAAAGUGAUGGGGGUGAGCAGGAUUUGAGCCAAGGGGAACGGAUGGACGGCGGGCAGAGCUCUUUUGCUUACUUGGCCCAUUUAAAGACCAAAAUGGGUUCUCACUCGUUGAUCCAUUUGUUAACUAUGCCCUAAUUUUGAACAAAGGCCAUUUAAGGCCCGAAAAUGGCACUCCAUUCUCUUCUCAUAUGUCUUCUUCCUUGAUUCCCAGAAUCAAUCACCAGAAUAGCAUAACAAACCCCCCCCCUGAAAGUAGAAAACAAGCACCUGAAGCUAGAAAACAAGCACCUGAAGCGCACAACCAGAAAAUAAUGGACAACAAACCCAGAAAACGCGGCCGAAAACCCAAGAAAACGCAGGCUCCAGAAACCAUGGACUUCCAAUUCACCACCAACACACCCCAAGACGACAACGUUUCUCUCCCUUCCACUGCCACCACCACCACUGCUGUUACAGAAACCCCUAGCACUAGAGCUAGUCCUACUCCCUCUGGUCGUGGCCGCGGAAGACCUAGGAAAAUUGGAAAACACGCUGAAAAAUCGGAACCCAAGUCCCCAGAACGGAGGCUGACGCGCCAUGGGGAGCAGAACGGUGAAUUCCAUGCUCCGGCUGGCGAGAUUAGGCAUAAUAAUAUGGUGGGGGUGGUUGCAGCGGCGGAGUGGGAGAGUGUGGUGAAAGUGGUUCCGGCAAUGGAUGCCGUGGUGAAGGUGUUCUGUGUUCACACUGAGCCAAAUUUUUCAUUGCCAUGUCAGCGAAAAAGGCAGUAUAGUUCGAGUAGCAGUGGAUUUUAUUAUUAGGGGAAGGAGAUUGUUGACAAAUGCGCACUCCGUAGAGCAUCACACUCAGGUUAAGGUGAAAAAACGAGGGUCUGAUACCAAGUAUCUGGCUACUGUGUUGGCUAUUGGCAGCGAGUGCGAUAUUGUUUAAUUUGUUUGAUUGUAACAAGUCCCUUCUUUCUUGAUGCUAAAGCAUUAUUGACAAUUAAUGAUGAUGAGUUUUGGGAGGGAGUUGCUCCUGUUGAAUUUGGAGAUUUGCCUGCCCUUCAAGAUGCUGUUACUGUUGUGGGUUACCCAAUUGGGGGCGACACAAUCUCUGUGACUAGUGGUGUUGUCUCACGCAUAGAGAUUCUAUCUUAUGCCCAUGGAUCAACUGAGCUUUUGGGGUUGCAGAUAGAUGCGGCCAUAAACUCUGGCAAUUCUGGGGGGCCUGCCUUUAAUGACAAGGGCAAAUGUGUUGGAAUUGCAUUUCAAUCUCUGAAACACGAAGAUGUGGAGAAUAUUGGCUACGUUAUACCCACACCAGUUAUAGUACAUUUUAUUUGUGACUAUGAGAAGAAUGGGGCCUAUACAGGUAUCUUUGGCAUUUCUCCUUUUGUGAGAAGAAAGUAUGCAGGCCCUUCUUCCCCAUCGACCAAUAUUUCUUUCCCUCAGAUGCAAUGAUGAAUGCAAAGUACAAUUAUAUUCUUCUUUCUUGAUUGACUUAGAGCUAGAAACUGCAGAUAACCUUAUUUAUAAUACUUUGUGUGAUGUUGUAGUUGUAAAUAUUCUGCUUUCCAUAUCUUAAACCUGUCUGAUUUUGCACUGUUUUAGGCUUCCCAGUUCUCGGAUUUGAGUGGCAGAAGAUGGAAAAUCCUGAUUUGCGUAUGUCAAUGGGGAUGGAACCUGAUAUGAAGGGUGUCCGCAUAAGAAGAAUUGAACCAACAGCUCCAGAAUCCCAUUUUUUGCAGCCAUCUGAUGUCAUCUUAAGUUUUGAUGGGGUUAAAAUUGCUAAUGAUGGAACAAGUAAGCAUUUUUCUGUGAAACAUGUCAGCUGUGUUUGCUGCCCAUAAACUUCUGUUUCAUAUUUUCCCCCUUGUUUUAAACUUUUAAUCUUACUAUGUAUUGCAUAUUCAUUUUACCACAUAAGUAUUAGGUCAUUUAACAUGAUUAUGUGUUUUGAUAGACCAUAUUGAACCAAACAAUUUGCAAUUUAAGCUAAUCUUUUUAAUUUUGUCAAUCCAGACGUUGUGUUUCUUUUUCCUUUUUCUUUACACUUUUGUUUUUUUGACAUACUGAUAUUUUCAUUAAUGCUAACCUGAUAGACUUUCUUGUACCAGUUUCGUCAUUAUUGUGGUAUGUGUCUGCAAAUAUUAUGAUAAUCCUAUUGUUUCAGUUCCAUUCAGGCAUGGAGAGCGAAUUAGUUUUAGUUACCUUGUUUCUCAAAAGUACACUGGCGACGAAGCUGUGGUAAAAGUUCUCCGUAAUUCAGAGAUACUUGAAUUCAAAAUAAAACUUGCAACACACAAACGGUUGAUCCUAGCACAUAUCAAGGGCAAACCUCCUUCUUAUUACAUUAUCGCUGGAUUUGUUUUUUCUGCAGUUUCUGUUCCUUAUCUGCGUUCGGAGUAUGGAAAGGACUAUGAAUUUGAUGCUCCAGUCAAACUAUUGGAUAAGCAUUUGCAUGCAAUGGCACAAUCUAUAGAUGAACAGGUUGUUGUUGUUUCACAGAUCAGUCUCUCUCCUCUUUUCCAACCUGCACAUUUGAAAGAAAAUAUUGUUCUGUUUUUUCCCUAAUAUUUACUCCAAACUAUUGGGCAAGCAUUUUAGGUUUUACUCUGAAAAAGGGAGAAAAAGAAGACAAUUCACUGCAUACAUAUGUGUUUUUGAAAUGGGUGUAGGUUCUUGUGGCUGACAUUAAUAUUGGAUAUGAAGAAAUUGUCAACACUCAGGUUCUUGCUUUCAACGGCCAGCCUGUGAAGAAUCUGAAGAACUUGGCUGACAUGGUGGAGAGUUGUGAUGAUGAAUUUUUAAAGUUUGACCUAGACUACCAGCAGGUAGUGGUCCUACACACCAAAAAUGCCAAGGCGGCAACUUUAGAUAUCCUUGCAACACAUUGUAUACCUUCUGCUAUGUCUGAUGAUCUUAGGACUUGAGAAAAGAUAUCAGUGAAAGGCACAGAACUUGCUGCCAUCUUGGGUGCCCAAUAGUCCAAUUUUGCAACACAACAGUUCCGUUUACCUUUGUUGGAGGUCCGGUAAUUUCCUGCUUACAUGUUCCUGCUGGGGUUGCACUGCUUUCUUACAUUCAGAUGUCUGUAUGGUGGUUGAGUUGUGUAGUUUAUUUGUAUUUGUAUCCACAUAUUUAUUUCGUAUUAAGUGGAAGAAAGGAGGGAGCAUUAUGACUGGUCUCCCCACGUCUAGGAGAUUUUUGUUUUUGGUUUCUCCUGAUAGCAUUUUGUCAGAUAUAAGGGGAUAUAUGAUUUUAUGGCCCAUUUUGCCAGAAAAUCAUGUAGAUGCUCACUAUUCCAUCAUGAAUUUUGUGUUUUUCAUCUUUACUUUUAUUUUAUUUUGUAUACUUUCAUGUAAGACAUGGUAGCUGAAUAUUAUAGUUCUGCUGAAUGCAAUUAUUCAUUUAGUCCCAAAAUCUUUGUAGGAAAUGCAUGAAUGUUGUGCAUGAGUAAAUCUUUUCUUCUUCUGCAAUUCCUUGUGAUUCAUUAUGAGGACUACUCAACAAACAUGCAAGUUGGAACAGUGGGAUCAUGUAGAACAACUAGUUGUUAGAUAUUUGGUAUUCACAGCUCCCAUCUGUUCUCUACUGGCACGUACUUGGGCAUGAGCAUUUGUGCCCUUGUGCUGUAAAGGCAAGUGAUUCUAGGCUGUUAAAAUGGAGACAUUUCCUGCAUUUGGUGUUGUCUACUGCAUAGGCAUCCUCAUUUUUUCAGAAAGCCGAGCGAUCUGUAUUUGCCUUUCAUUUUUUAUUUGCCCUACACAAGUUCAUCUUUGUAGCUUUGCAAUAAAGGAACCUUCUGGGCGGGUGGAGAUUCCAGGGUACUAACACCAUAAUCUUCACUCAACUCUUCUUUGGCUUUUCCCCACAUUACAGUGUAAAAUCCAGUGGAUAUUAUCAUUGCUCCAAUGAGACUUCCAAGAUGGAGAGUAUCACCAAGGAACAUGGCACCCAUAGCAACUGCAAUGGCAAUUGACAAAGGCUUGAACAUUGCAACAAAAACAGGUCCCUUCAAGUGCAGUGCCCAUGUGUGAACAGUAUUGUUCAAGCAUGAUCCAAACAGUCCCGAGCAAACAAUGGAAGCUAAUGCUAUACUCGGCCGUACCAUCCAAGCACUCGAAGCUCCUUGAGUAACCAGAGCUAGAAUUGCUGCUAUAAUGCUCACGGAUAAAUUAUAAAAGAAGACUACUGUCAACUCUGCUGGGUACUCCUUCAUUAUUUGUGUCUGAACAAUAUACCAUAACGGAACCAGUAUAUACUCAGCUGUGAGAAAAAUUCCACCAAGAAUCCAAUUUGGAUGUGGUGAUUGAAGAGAUUGAUCAAGUGAAAUAGAUGGAGAUGAAGCAAUGAUAAUUGGUGGACCCUUGUACAGAGUCACUACAAAUGCACCAGCUAUUGAAAUGAUAGUGCCCAAGACUUUGGCCUGGCUGCUUCUUCUUUUCAUAGCAACCCUUUCCAUCCUGAAAAUUAUGGCAAGAAUGAAAGUGAAAGCUGGUGUGAGGUUGCUGAUGGCUGAAGAAAGAGUUGGAGAACUAUAAUUUAUGCCUGUGAAACCCAUGAUCUGAGAUGAGCUCCCAAUAAGCCCAAGAAGACCAAUUUUACAGAGUAUAGAGAAGCUUAGAGGAGGAAGAACUCUUGAUCUGCAGGAGAUGAAAGGAGCCGGAAGAAGAACAAGAGCAGCAAUAGCAUAUGCAUAGACAAUAAAGACAUAGUAAUUCAUGCCCUGCAAAGUAGCUGCCUUGUAAAGAGUGUUCAAGCCCACGUUCACACACUCCAUUGCCACAAGCGAUGUAAAUGGCAAAACAUCUCUGCAACAAUGCCUUCCUGCCAUUUUCUCCUCGAGGAUUCUGAUGAGUCUGAGAUUCCUAUGUUUGAAUCAAAUUUAAGAUUUUUUUUUUUGGCACUGUUGAUGAUGAGAGAUGACUUGGCGAUACAGCAAGAGUUUUGGUUUGCUCCUUUUAUAAUUUACUUUAUUU